GACGAACGCUGGCGGCGUGCUUAACACAUGCAAGUCGAACGGAAAGGCCCUGCUUUUGUGGGGUGCUCGAGUGGCGAACGGGUGAGUAACACGUGAGUAACCUGCCCUUGACUUUGGGAUAACUUCAGGAAACUGGGGCUAAUACCGGAUAGGAGCUCCUGCUGCAUGGUGGGGGUUGGAAAGUUUCGGCGGUUGGGGAUGGACUCGCGGCUUAUCAGCUUGUUGGUGGGGUAGUGGCUUACCAAGGCUUUGACGGGUAGCCGGCCUGAGAGGGUGACCGGCCACAUUGGGACUGAGAUACGGCCCAGACUCCUACGGGAGGCAGCAGUGGGGAAUAUUGCACAAUGGGCGGAAGCCUGAUGCAGCAACGCCGCGUGCGGGAUGACGGCCUUCGGGUUGUAAACCGCUUUCGCCUGUGACGAAGCGUGAGUGACGGUAAUGGGUAAAGAAGCACCGGCUAACUACGUGCCAGCAGCCGCGGUGAUACGUAGGGUGCGAGCGUUGUCCGGAUUUAUUGGGCGUAAAGGGCUCGUAGGUGGUUGAUCGCGUCGGAAGUGUAAUCUUGGGGCUUAACCCUGAGCGUGCUUUCGAUACGGGUUGACUUGAGGAAGGUAGGGGAGAAUGGAAUUCCUGGUGGAGCGGUGGAAUGCGCAGAUAUCAGGAGGAACACCAGUGGCGAAGGCGGUUCUCUGGGCCUUUCCUGACGCUGAGGAGCGAAAGCGUGGGGAGCGAACAGGCUUAGAUACCCUGGUAGUCCACGCUGUAAACGGUGGGUACUAGGUGUGGGGUCCAUUCCACGGGUUCCGUGCCGUAGCUAACGCUUUAAGUACCCCGCCUGGGGAGUACGGCCGCAAGGGCUAAAACUCAAAGGAAUUGACGGGGCCCCGCACAAGCGGCGGAGCAUGCGGAUUAAUUCGAUGCAACGCGUAGAACCUUACCUGGGUUUGACAUGGGUCGGGAGUGCUCAGAGAUGGGUGUGCCUCUUUUGGGGUCGGUUCACAGGUGGUGCAUGGCUGUCGUCAGCUCGUGUCGUGAGAUGUUGGGUUAAGUCCCGCAACGAGCGCAACCCUUGUUCACUGUUGCCAGCACGUUAUGGUGGGGACUCAGUGGAGACCGCCGGGGUCAACUCGGAGGAAGGUGGGGAUGACGUCAAGUCAUCAUGCCCCUUAUGUCCAGGGCUUCACGCAUGCUACAAUGGCUGGUACAGAGAGUGGCGAGCCUGUGAGGGUGAGCGAAUCUCGGAAAGCCGGUCUCAGUUCGGAUUGGGGUCUGCAACUCGACCUCAUGAAGUCGGAGUCGCUAGUAAUCGCAGAUCAGCAACGCUGCGGUGAAUACGUUCCCGGGGCU
Molecule: ribosomal RNA, 1347 nt
Filed under: uncultured bacterium
Lineage: Bacteria
Description: partial 16S ribosomal RNA
Rfam family: Bacterial small subunit ribosomal RNA
Source: RNAcentral